This 553-nucleotide ribosomal RNA is filed under the name Cladosporium cladosporioides. RNAcentral describes it as "eukaryotic LSU rRNA". It matches the Rfam family "Eukaryotic large subunit ribosomal RNA", at positions 88 to 663 of the family's 3401-position model. Lineage: Eukaryota; Fungi; Ascomycota; Dothideomycetes; Cladosporiales; Cladosporiaceae. The record is from RNAcentral.
GGCGAGUGAGCAGCAAUAGCUCAAAUUUGAAAUCUGGCGUCUUCGACGUCCGAGUUGUAAUUUGUAGAGGAUGCUUCUGAGUAACCACCGACCUAAGUUCCUUGGAACAGGACGUCAUAGAGGGUGAGAAUCCCGUAUGCGGUCGGAAAGGUGCUCUAUACGUAGCUCCUUCGACGAGUCGAGUUGUUUGGGAAUGCAGCUCUAAAUGGGAGGUAAAUUUCUUCUAAAGCUAAAUAUUGGCCAGAGACCGAUAGCGCACAAGUAGAGUGAUCGAAAGAUGAAAAGCACUUUGGAAAGAGAGUUAAAAAGCACGUGAAAUUGUUAAAAGGGAAGGGAUUGCAACCAGACUUGCUCGCGGUGUUCCGCCGGUCUUCUGACCGGUCUACUCGCCGCGUUGCAGGCCAGCAUCGUCUGGUGCCGCUGGAUAAGACUUGAGGAAUGUAGCUCCCUCGGGAGUGUUAUAGCCUCUUGUGAUGCAGCGAGCGCCGGGCGAGGUCCGCGCUUCGGCUAGGAUGCUGGCGUAAUGGUCGUAAUCCGCCCGUCUUGAAACACG